UCGGGCCUGCUCGGUGAUAAGUUUUUAACAGCUGCGGUAUUUUAACUGUACUAAGGUAGCAUAAUAAUUUGCCUUAUAAUUUGAGGCUAGAAUGAAUGGUUUGACGAAGGUUAAUCUGUCUCCAUCUUAUUUUUUAGAAUUUAAUUUUUAAAGUGAAAAAGCUUAAAUUUUUUAAAGGGACGAGAAGACCCUAAUGAGCUUAUAAUUUUAUUAUCAUUAUUUAAAACAUUUAGGUGGUGGUAUAUAAAUUUUAAUUGGGGUGAUUAAGGAAUAAAUUGUGUAUAGUAACUUCCUUAAACUAGGUAUUUGUAGAUAAAGUAACCAAUAUAAUAUUGCUUAUAAUAUAGUUACCAUAGGGAUAACAGCGUAAUUUGUUUAGAGAGUUCUUAUUGAAAAAC
RNAcentral lists this ribosomal RNA (398 nucleotides) under Ommastrephes brevimanus. Its description in RNAcentral is "partial 16S ribosomal RNA". It matches the Rfam family "Bacterial large subunit ribosomal RNA", at positions 1853 to 2513 of the family's 2925-position model. The record is from RNAcentral. Lineage: Eukaryota; Metazoa; Mollusca; Cephalopoda; Oegopsida; Ommastrephidae.